GAUGAACGCUAGCUACAGGCUUAACACAUGCAAGUCGAGGGGAAACGACAGUAAAGCUUGCUUUAUUGGGCGUCGACCGGCGCACGGGUGCGUAACGCGUAUCCAACCUGCCCCCAACUCCGGAAUAGUCCCCCGAAACGGGGGGUUAACGGCCGGAUGCUGCAAUUUUUCCGUCAUGGUGGAAUUGCGAAAUGAAAAAGGUUAGGGGCUGGGGAGUGCGUCCCAUUAGGUAGUAGGCGGGGUAACGGCCCACCUAGCCGACGAUGGGUAGGGGUUCUGAGAGGAAGGUCCCCCACAUUGGAACUGAGACACGGUCCAAACUCCUACGGGAGGCAGCAGUGAGGAAUAUUGGUCAAUGGGCGAGAGCCUGAACCAGCCAAGUAGCGUGCAGGAUGACGGCCCUAUGGGUUGUAAACUGCUUUUAUAAGGGAAUAAAGUUAGUCUCGUGAGACUUUUUGCAUGUACCUUAUGAAUAAGGACCGGCUAAUUCCGUG
Molecule: ribosomal RNA, 494 nt
Filed under: uncultured bacterium
Lineage: Bacteria
Description: bacterial SSU rRNA
Rfam family: Bacterial small subunit ribosomal RNA
Source: RNAcentral